This 429-nucleotide ribosomal RNA is filed under the name Fusobacteriota bacterium. RNAcentral's name for it is "Fusobacteria bacterium partial 16S ribosomal RNA". It matches the Rfam family "Bacterial small subunit ribosomal RNA", at positions 355 to 776 of the family's 1533-position model. The record is from RNAcentral. Lineage: Bacteria; Fusobacteriati; Fusobacteriota.
UGGGGAAUCUUCCGCAAUGGACGAAAGUCUGACGGAGCAACGCCGCGUGAGUGAAGACGGCCUUCGGGUUGUAAAGCUCUGUGAUCCGGGACGAAAGAGCCUGAGGUAAAUAGCCUAAGGAAGUGACGGUACCGGAAAAGCAAGCCACGGCUAACUACGUGCCAGCAGCCGCGGUAAUACGUAGGUGGCAAGCGUUGUCCGGAAUUAUUGGGCGUAAAGCGCGCGCAGGCGGCUUCCUAAGUCCAUCUUAAAAGUGCGGGGCUUAACCCCGUGAUGGGAUGGAAACUGGGAAGCUGGAGUAUCGGAGAGGAAAGUGGAAUUCCUAGUGUAGAGGUGAAAUGCGUAGAGAUUAGGAAGAACACCGGUGGCGAAGGCGACUUUCUGGACGAAAACUGACGCUGAGGCGCGAAAGCGUGGGGAGCAAACAGG